RNAcentral lists this ribosomal RNA (494 nucleotides) under uncultured bacterium. RNAcentral describes it as "partial 16S ribosomal RNA". It matches the Rfam family "Bacterial small subunit ribosomal RNA", at positions 28 to 507 of the family's 1533-position model. The record is from RNAcentral.
GACGAACGCUGGCGACGUGCUUAACACAUGCAAGUCGAACGGUGAAGCGCCUUCCUUUUUGGUGGGUGUGGAUGAGUGGCGAACGGGUGAGUAACACGUUAGUAACCUGCCCCCUUCUUCUGGAUAACCGCAUGAAAGUGUGGCUAAUACGGGAUAUUCUGGGUCUGUCGCAUGAUGGGUCUGGGAAAGAUAUUGUUUCGGUGGGGGAUGGGCUCGCGGCCUAUCAGCUUGUUGGUGGGGUGAUGGCCUACCAAGGCGGUGACGGGUAGCCGGCCUGAGAGGGUGGACGGUCACACUGGGACUGAGACACGGCCCAGACUCCUACGGGAGGCAGCAGUGGGGAAUAUUGCACAAUGGGCGCAAGCCUGAUGCAGCGACGCCGCGUGAGGGAUGGAGGCCUUCGGGUUGUGAACCUCUUUCGCCAGUGAAGCAGGCCUGCCUCGUUUGUGGGUGGGUUGACGGUAGCUGGAUAAGAAGCGCCGGCUAACUACGUG